UACGUAGGGUGCAAGCGUUGUCCGGAAUUAUUGGGCGUAAAGAGCUUGUAGGCGGUUUGUCGCGUCUGCUGUGAAAUUUCGGGGCUCAACCCCGAACUUGCAGUGGGUACGGGCAGACUAGAGUGUGGUAGGGGAGACUGGAAUUCCUGGUGUAGCGGUGAAAUGCGCAGAUAUCAGGAGGAACACCGAUGGCGAAGGCAGGUCACUGGGCCGCAACUGACGCUGAGGAGCGAAAGCAUAGGGAGCGAACAGG
Molecule: ribosomal RNA, 253 nt
Filed under: uncultured bacterium
Lineage: Bacteria
Description: partial 16S ribosomal RNA
Rfam family: Bacterial small subunit ribosomal RNA
Source: RNAcentral